RNAcentral lists this transfer RNA (75 nucleotides) under Dictyomenia sonderi. Its description in RNAcentral is "tRNA-Ala". It matches the Rfam family "tRNA". Rfam says of the family: Transfer RNA (tRNA) molecules are approximately 80 nucleotides in length. Their secondary structure includes four short double-helical elements and three loops (D, anti-codon, and T loops). The record is from RNAcentral. Lineage: Eukaryota; Rhodophyta; Florideophyceae; Ceramiales; Rhodomelaceae.
GGGGAUAUAGUUUAAUUUUAGGAAAAACAUAUAAUUUGCAUUUAUAAGUUAUUGGUUCAAGUCCAAUUAUUUCCA